Molecule: ribosomal RNA, 442 nt
Filed under: uncultured bacterium
Lineage: Bacteria
Description: partial 16S ribosomal RNA
Rfam family: Bacterial small subunit ribosomal RNA
Source: RNAcentral
CCUACGGGAGGCAGCAGUGGGGAAUAUUGGGCAAUGGGCGCAAGCCUGACCCAGCAACGCCGCGUGAAGGAAGAAGGCCCUCGGGUUGUAAACUUCUUUUAUCAAGGACGAAACAAAUGACGGUACUUGAUGAAUAAGCCACGGCUAACUUCGUGCCAGCCGCCGCGGUAAUACGUAGGUGGCAAGUGUUAUCCGGAUUUACUGGGUGUAAAGGUCGUGUAGGCGGGAAUGAAAGUCAGAUGUGAAAACCAUGGGCUCAACCCAUGGCCUGAAUUUUGAACUGUAGUUCUUGAGUGUUGGAGAGGCAGGCGGAAUUCCGGGUGUAGCGGUGAAAUGGGUAGAUAUACGGAGGAAAACCAGUGGCGAAGGCGACUAUCUGGCACAUAACUGACGCUGAGGAGCGAAAGCGUGGGUAGCAAACAGGAUUAGAUACCCUGUAGUC